RNAcentral lists this ribosomal RNA (521 nucleotides) under Costifrons sp. 2 BFS-2018. RNAcentral describes it as "partial 16S large subunit ribosomal RNA". The stretch from base 392 to 521 matches the Rfam family "Archaeal large subunit ribosomal RNA", at positions 2544 to 2673 of the family's 2987-position model. Lineage: Eukaryota; Metazoa; Arthropoda; Insecta; Hymenoptera; Ichneumonidae. The record is from RNAcentral.
CAUGUCUUUUUGAGCAUAAUUUAAAGUYUGAUYUGCUCCAUGAUUAUUAAUAAUUAAAUAGCUGCAGAAUUUUAACUGUACAAAGGUAGCAUAAUCAAUAGUUUUUUAAUUAAAAGCUGGUAUGAAUGAUUUGAUAAGGUAAAUUUUGUCUCAAAUUUAAUAGAAAUAGAAUUUUUUUUUUAGUAAAAAUACUAAAUUGUUUUUAAAAGACGAGAAGACCCUAUAGAUUUUUAUAUUUUUGUGUAAAAUAUAUUUAAAGUAAAAAAUAAAAUUUUAUAUAAAAAUAUUUGGUUGGGGCAAUUAUUAAAUUUAAUAAAUUUUAAUAAUUUUAAACAAUGAUUAUUGAAAUUUUGAUCUUAUUAUAUAAAUUAUAAGAAUAAAAUACCUUAGGGAUAACAGCGUAAUUUUUUUGGAGAGAUCAUAUUGAUAAAAAAGUUUGCGACCUCGAUGUUGAAUUAAGAUAAAAUUUUAAUGUAGGUGUUAAAAAUUUUUGGUCUGUUCGACCAUUAAAAUCUUACGUG